RNAcentral lists this ribosomal RNA (263 nucleotides) under uncultured bacterium. RNAcentral's name for it is "partial 16S ribosomal RNA". It matches the Rfam family "Bacterial small subunit ribosomal RNA", at positions 793 to 1055 of the family's 1533-position model. The record is from RNAcentral.
GUCCACGCCGUAAACGGUGGGCACUAGGUGUGGGCCACAUUCCACGUGGUCCGUGCCGCAGCUAACGCAUUAAGUGCCCCGCCUGGGGAGUACGGCCGCAAGGCUAAAACUCAAAGGAAUUGACGGGGGCCCGCACAAGCGGCGGAGCAUGUGGCUUAAUUCGACGCAACGCGAAGAACCUUACCAAGGCUUGACAUACACCGGAAACACUCAGAUAUGGGUGCCCCCUUGUGGUCGGUGUACAGGUGGUGCAUGGCUGUCGU